This 570-nucleotide ribosomal RNA is filed under the name Lodderomyces parapsilosis. Its description in RNAcentral is "eukaryotic LSU rRNA". It matches the Rfam family "Eukaryotic large subunit ribosomal RNA", at positions 23 to 599 of the family's 3401-position model. The record is from RNAcentral. Lineage: Eukaryota; Fungi; Ascomycota; Pichiomycetes; Serinales; Debaryomycetaceae.
ACCCGCUGAACUUAAGCAUAUCAAUAAGCGGAGGAAAAGAAACCAACAGGGAUUGCCUUAGUAGCGGCGAGUGAAGCGGCAAAAGCUCAAAUUUGAAAUCUGGCACUUUCAGUGUCCGAGUUGUAAUUUGAAGAAGGUAUCUUUGGGUCUGGCUCUUGUCUAUGUUUCUUGGAACAGAACGUCACAGAGGGUGAGAAUCCCGUGCGAUGAGAUGUCCCAGACCUAUGUAAAGUUCCUUCGAAGAGUCGAGUUGUUUGGGAAUGCAGCUCUAAGUGGGUGGUAAAUUCCAUCUAAAGCUAAAUAUUGGCGAGAGACCGAUAGCGAACAAGUACAGUGAUGGAAAGAUGAAAAGAACUUUGAAAAGAGAGUGAAAAAGUACGUGAAAUUGUUGAAAGGGAAGGGCUUGAGAUCAGACUUGGUAUUUUGUAUGUUACUCUCUCGGGGGUGGCCUCUACAGUUUACCGGGCCAGCAUCAGUUUGAGCGGUAGGAUAAGUGCAAAGAAAUGUGGCACUGCUUCGGUAGUGUGUUAUAGUCUUUGUCGAUACUGCCAGCUUAGACUGAGGACUGCG